Molecule: transfer RNA, 87 nt
Filed under: Ferrimonas sediminum
Lineage: Bacteria; Pseudomonadati; Pseudomonadota; Gammaproteobacteria; Alteromonadales; Ferrimonadaceae
Description: tRNA_Leu_CAG
Rfam family: tRNA
About the family: Transfer RNA (tRNA) molecules are approximately 80 nucleotides in length. Their secondary structure includes four short double-helical elements and three loops (D, anti-codon, and T loops). Further hydrogen bonds mediate the characteristic L-shaped molecular structure. tRNAs have two regions of fundamental functional importance: the anti-codon, which is responsible for specific mRNA codon recognition, and the 3' end, to which the tRNAs corresponding amino acid is attached (by aminoacyl-tRNA synthetases). tRNAs cope with the degeneracy of the genetic code in two manners: having more than one tRNA (with a specific anti-codon) for a particular amino acid; and 'wobble' base-pairing, i.e. permitting non-standard base-pairing at the 3rd anti-codon position.
Source: RNAcentral
GCAGAAGUGGCGGAAUUGGUAGACGCGCUAGCUUCAGGUGCUAGUGUCCGAAAGGACGUGAGAGUUCAAGUCUCUCUUUCUGCACCA